UAUAGGAUCAGGGUUCUUGCAGUGUCAGGGAUUUAAGACUUUUUAACUCCCCCUCCCCCGCCUUUUUUCCUUGCUUGUCUGAACAGCUCUGGGCUCCCCCGGCAUCACUUCAGUGCAAGGACCCGUCUGACACUACUUAUGCCAGGUCCUGCCUCCCUCACAGGAGAAGCAGUCUGCAACUUUUGCUGCUCUAGACAACACUUCAUCUCCGAGAGGCAGAGCUCUGCAGAGCGGAUCUGGGGAGCAGUGACCAGGCAUCAAAACUCUGUCCAGCCUGUCUGAAGCAACCUUUUCCCAGAAACAAGGUUCCUUUACACUGAUGACAAGAGAAGGCRUUGUGCUAGGUGCUCUUCAGACCAGUGAGACUGGAUGUACUUUGAAGAGCUUGCAAUCAAAGUUAAGAUGUGGCUGCUGUUGGACAACUCUGAUCUUCUCUGGGGGGAAGAGGAAAAAGGUAAUGAAAGCUUUGCUAAAUGCUGUUAUUGGGAGGGGAAGAACAGGAUUUACUAGCAUAUAG
This 517-nucleotide long non-coding RNA is filed under the name Dromaius novaehollandiae (emu). RNAcentral describes it as "lncRNA (ENSDNVG00000016967.1)". Lineage: Eukaryota; Metazoa; Chordata; Aves; Casuariiformes; Dromaiidae. The record is from RNAcentral.